Long non-coding RNA from Limulus polyphemus (Atlantic horseshoe crab), 6870 nucleotides. RefSeq lists it as uncharacterized. The record is from RefSeq and is a predicted model, not a curated record. The transcript has 4 exons. Lineage: Eukaryota; Metazoa; Arthropoda; Merostomata; Xiphosura; Limulidae.
AAUUCUUCUCAUUUGUUUUCCCUCAUACUUAUUCAUAACUUGUAAGUUGAAUGUAUUUAUUUAUUUAUUUUUAAUACAGAAGGAGAGUCUCCAUGAGCCAUACAGGUCUAGAAAUAAUAAAAGUCCAUCAGAUCUUGAUGCUGAUGAUGAAGAUAACCAGGACUAUGAUAGCACUGUCAAUCAGUCUGACUCUACUGUUAGUUUGGUUCAGGAUGAUGCUAACCGAAGUAUUCAGAAAAUAUCAUCUAGUGUCAAUGGUCGACCAGAGACACCCUGUAGUGAAAGUUCUGAAGAGCUACUGGAACGAGCACGAGAAGAAAAUCACAGACUUUUAGAGGUGGUCAAGGAAAAAGAUGCUAGGAUUCUUUUUCUGGAACAAAAAGUCAAUGCCUUGAGUUGUGAAUUGUCAGCUACUCAAUUGGAAAAGAAGAGACUUGAAGAAAAAAACCACUCUUUACUUACUGGAUUGGCUAAUCUUAAGGUUAAAUGAGUAGGUGCAUUCUUUGUAUAGUUUGCUUUUACAGCAUAGAAAAGAAAACAGAAUUUCAGUUUAUUUUUGCAGCUUCCAAUACUUAUGGUUGCUUUUUACCACAGAACUUGCACUUUGCUCAUGUAAGCUAGUAUAUAUAUAUAUUUUUUUUUUUCCUUUAUAUUAUGAAGAACCUUCUAUCUCAGACUGGUAGUUUUUCUAUUAUUUUUAUUGUUUUGAAAAUCAGUUGGCUUUCUUUUAUAGCAGCUUUUCAGAAGAACGUUUCAUAUGGAAAAAUAAGUUGUGCCGAAUAUUCACAUUAAUCAUCUUUUUUUUUCAUACUAGACAAUCCUUCAAAGACAAAUAAAGCUGUGCUGUGAUUAUUAAAAUAGAACAACAAAUUCCAAGUUUGUUUUACUACUGUAAAGGAGAAGUUUGAACUUUCCUGGCCUGAAGCAUUCCAUGUUAAAGUUUUAAACUAAUAUUGCUCUUCUGCCUCAAAUCAAAUCAAAAUAUUUAAGUAUCUAAUUUUUGAAAGUUUUGUACAUAAAGAGCACUUACAUAAAACUAUAUUAAGAUUAUUAAUUGGGGAAAAUUACCAAUCGGUCAUAAAGAAGUGGUAUUAGGUAGAGCUCACUUAUAACUUAUGUUAAGGGAUAACUAAAUUAACGACACACACAUCAGUGAGAAAUGUUUAUAUUGGUACGUACCACCAAAAAAUGUUAAUUUGUUUUUUAGAAAUACAAAAGAUUGAUGGAAACUUCAUGAUAAGUUUGUCAAAAAAUUAUGAUAACCUUGUGUUUAACAGAGCUAAAAAAAAAGAGCAAGCUACAAAAAAGUAUGUGAACAACUAUUUAUUUCAUUGAUUCUAUAGUAGGUUUUAUUGAGUUCUAACUUUACAGUAACAAUUUAUAUCUAUUUUCAAAUAUUUAUUUGUUGCAGCUUGAAAUCAGUUUCUUUACUGUAAUUAAUGCUACAUAACUAAACAAUUGUGUAUUUUAUUAUGAAUGCAACAUUCCAUUUAAGAAUUAUAGAAACGUGUAUUUUGCCAUUAAUCAUGUAAUUAAUGCUACAUAACUAAACAAUUGUGUAUUUUAUUAUGAAUGCAACAUUCCAUUUAAGAAUUAUAGAAACGUGUAUUUUGCCAUUAAUCAUGUAAUUAAUGCUACAUAACUAAACAAUUGUGUAUUUUAUUAUGAAUGCAACAUUCCAUUUAAGAAUUAUAGAAACGUGUAUUUUGCCAUUAAUCAUAUUCAGGUUUAUAAUGCCUAAACGGCAAAGCAUGACCCCCUUUUCAGGCUAAUAAGUGUGAUAAGGCAUAACAGUAAAAUUAAUAGAAACAUACUUUGAUAAUUUAUUGAUCCAAUGUAAUAAUAAUGAAAAUGUGUAAUAGUAUUUCAACACAUUUAUUCUGCAUUACUGCUUUAUAUUCUGUGUUUGUUUAUUUAUUGCUAUAAAUAAGCUUUACAUUUUUAAUGCCUGAUGAAGCAUCUGUUUAGAUUUCUUUUUAAAGAAAAAUUAUAUUAUUCAGAGUUAUUUUUGGGUUCUUCUGAAGCUGUGUAUAAAAAUAUUUUACUCAGUUACUUGAUCGAAUGGAUGAAGAUUCCUCUGUAAAAUGCGUGUGAAUUUGGUCUACUUAUUUUAAGCAAUUUUUGCUAAUUUGAAAUCAUUUAUUUUAUAUAACAAUAGUUUUUAAAUUAAAAACUUUAUGUAAUUAUAUUACAUAAGAUUUUCUAGUCUGAACAUAACUGUUAGUGAACAAGAUUAGGGUUAAUGGUGUAAAUAAAUUAGUUAUUUUCAUCAUGGGAAAUUUAUUGGAAAAAAAUGCAUUUAUUUCUGAAGAAAAAUAAGUCAGCAUAAUUUUCCAAAGCCAAUUCUUAGUGUAAGUGUACUUAAUCUUACUUCAUUAUCUGAAUGCCUCUAAUAAUAGAACAUGGCAUACUAUUUUUAGAAUUAAUAGCCUGUCAAAAUUUAGAAAGCUUUUUUUUUCUCACAUAAUUAGUCCCCCAGCGGGUCAAUGGUAAGUUUACAGACUUUACAAAGCUAAAAUCUGGUGGACAGAGUAGUGAUAGCCAUUGGGUAGCUUUGUACUGAAAAAGAACAAUAAUGGUUGAACUUAUAGGAUGAUUAUUAUCUGUCAGUUUGGUUUUAUACAAGUAGUUAACGAUGAUGAGAAGAUACUAGGCAACCAACAUUCAAGGUCGUGGCUUCUUGUCUUUUUUUGUCAUAAAAGAAGCUAAAUCUUACAUUUUGUAAGUGAAGUUCUCAUAUUAGUAAGAAAAUAAUGUGUUAUUGUAAACAAGCAGAGUGUAACUCGACUAAUAUUUUUUUUCUUGUCGAAGAUGUAUACACAAAAUUUGGAAAUGUAUUUCAUCAUCUUUGAAAAUAUUUUCUUUAAAAAAUGCAUUAUUUAAAAUCAUUUCCAAAAAGUAAAUAUGAAUGUUUUUUCUAUCUUUUUAUUUUACUUGUAAGUUAUUUUUGAGUCAAAUUAGAUCAACAGAAGUGUUUCUUGUUUUGAUUAUUGAAUUUAAUUAUUUUCUUACUAUAUGUUCACAGAAAUAUCCUGGCAUUUAGCAAGGGCAUGUAAAGCCCCUAAAAAACCAUGUGUUAUUAUAGUGUAAGGGGUUAAUAUCCAUUUACAUUACAUAUAAUUGUACUUCUUACAAGAUAGCUAUUCAUAGUCAGUAAAUUACCAUAACACGAAUUGUAACCUGGUGUUUAGAAUUUUAAAGGCAUGUUAAGAAAAGAAAAACAUUUUGAAUGACCCAAAAAUAAGAUAACUGAUCAUUGUUAGUUUUUUUUUUAAAUCUUAUUAUUGCCUAGUUAAAGAAUUUACUUUUUAUGUAAAAAGCUUUGAAUUAAUUGUUUAUCCCAUAGUGUUUCUGGUCUCUGUACUGCUGUCAAUCUGUUUUUUUUUAUUUUUAAGUUGAAAUUGAAUUUUUUUUCUGUAUGUGUCAAAAUUAUAUAUAAGGCAACUAUUGGUGUGGUAAAGAACUAAAUGAAAGAUACCGAACACUAACUUGAAAGCCCUGUUUUCAUUAUGCAUCCAUAUAUAUUUGUUUAGGAAUCCUCUUAAAAAGAUUAAUAUAGUUUUUCAUUUAUGUAUAGUAGUUGAUUUCAAGAAUUGCAGUCGUAAACAAAAUUAUUUUAAAAAUUGGCCAUGAAAAUAUUAAUAAUUUUACAUGGCAUUUUAGAUCUUUUUGAAGAAGAAAUAGCAGCUCAAAUCCAAAAAUUUCAGCAUGAGCUUAUAAAAGAACAAACUUACCUAACAAACUAAAAAAAAAUGUUUGUAAAUAAUUAUAUGUACAUAACUAGUUUCAAAGUUAAAAACAACCAGGCAUUUUAAACAGUGAGACAUAGCUCUGAUAAAACCUAAAUUGAUGUCUUCCUAUGAUUACAUGGGAUUUCCUUAUUUUUUUUAGUAAUAGCUAAGAAAACUUGUCAUUAGAGCUUAAACACCAGUUGUAUUCUAAAUGUACCAUUUAUUACACCAAACAUUUUUGAGUUUUGGUAAAAUUGAAAAGGAAACAAAAAGUGUUUUCUAUGAUAGAAUUUGUAAUCAGCUUUCCAUGCAUUGGAUAUUUAAAAAAAAUGCCUUGAGUUGCUUUUAUCUUAAAUUUAGGUUGUGAAGAUGUUUUGGUAACUUCAUAUAUAUUUCAGUUUAAUAGUCCAUAAAGCAUUACUAUCAUAGAAUCUUAGUAAAUAAAAAAAACUUAGAAUGUACAUCUACAAAACGUUAUGUACUUUUUUCAUCUAAAAAAACUAGCAGGAAUUAAUAGUUUAAGAUAAUACCAGAAAUACAUGAAAUGGAUUUUAGUAUUUAUUACCAAACUGUAUCUAAUAGAAAAUAUAGGUAAGUGGGUGGUAUGUUUUUGUUUAAGAUUAUUUUUGUCUCUAAUUAUGCUAUAUGCACGUCCAUAAAUAUUUUUAUGUUGUUAGAGCUCACAAAGAAACAAUAUAAUCCUAUUAGUCUCUUUAAUGCUUUAGAAAGAUGAGUCAAAGCAUGCAAGUUAAUAUUGUAAAGUUUUUCUUUUUAACUGUGAGUUAUUUAUUUUAACAUAUAUCUGUUAAUAAUGAUUGAUGUAUACUGUGUUUGCACUAUCAUGGUAUUUAAGCAAAGAAUGUGGUUUUAUUGCAGCUGUCAAAGCUAGCUUUAAAAUGAAAAACAUUAGGCCUAUUACAUCUGAUCAGUCACAUUUUAUUGAAGAUAAUUUUUGACAUUGUUUCUGUAAACGAUUGAUUAAGAGGAAUAUGUCAGUAAAAAAUUAUUAAGAAUAAUGAUCAUUAUUACUGUGCAACUUCAGCAUUUCCCACUACAAUGCUAAGUUUCUUGCACUACAUAUAAAUAUAAAUUCAAAUAUUCUUUGGGGUACCUGUACAUCCAAUUAAGUUAAAAACCUUCUGGGCAGUGACUUGUUUCAAACAAAAGAUAGAUAUUAAAUGCUAUUUUGAGAUACCUCCAAUUUGGAAUCUACAAGAGACUAAUUAUAAAAGGACAAGUCAACAUGAUUUUAAUUUUAAACAGAUUAUACAUGUGUGUGUGUUGUGGAAACAUCAGUGAUUCAUGUGGCAUGUAGUUUACUGAUAUUAUUUAAUAGUUGGUUCAGAUAAAAGUUAUCAGAUUGAAAUUAAAAAUUUUAGUAAAAUGGAAAAAAACUGUAGUAAAAUAAAUUGGUACAGUUUUUUCCUUCUUAUUCUUUCAUCUUCUAUGAGGUAUGAUUGCUUCUUCCCCUCAAAAAACUUAUAGAAAUGUUAAAAUUUUAAUUUCAAAACAAUGAUAAUAAGUAUCAUUUCUUACUGUAAUAUUAAAAACAAAACCUUAGUUGUUGAAUAGUGAGAUAAAUUAGAGCUGAUGUAGUAUUUUUACAAAAAAAGAGCUAAAAACUAUGAAAAAAUUUGCUCAACAAGUGCAUAUCUUGUUAUCAUAAUAGAGGCAAAAUUUGGUUGUUUAUAAAGAAUAAUAAUUUUGCUCCUAAACAUAUUUCCUACAAUGUGAAGCUGUGAGAAAGAAAUGUGAUUAAUGUAGUUUGAAAGUUAGUUUGAUAUAUUUUUUGACAAAAGCCUAAAAAGUGUUCAGGAAUAUAACUAAAUUCACUAGAUAUUGUACAGAAAUGUUGGCUCUUGUAUUUGGUGGAUUGUAUAUUUGAGUAUCAAAAAUGCAUUUGUUAUCGAGGACACAUUUAUUUCAUUCUUUCUCCAUCCAUUCCAUUGUAGUAUUUUGUGUUUGUUUAAGAAAGUGUGAAUGUGGGAACAUAAAAGAAAAUGUUACAUAUUUCAAACUGUUAAAUGAAUGAAUUAGAUAUAAUUUACAAAAUUGUUUGUUGCCUACUUUUACUAUCUCAUAUUUUGGGAUUUUUUUAACAAAUUAUAAUCAUAGCCAAAUCAUGCAGUUAGUUAUUUCUUUAUUAUGUUGUCUGGUAUUAUGCCUUCCAUUCACACUAAUUGUAAUUGUUCCAUGGCUCAUAACUGUAAGCUUAAGGAGUAGCAUUUCUAAGUAAAUAUUCUACUAUUAGUUUAUCAUAUGUAUUCCAUGAUAUAACAAUAUUAGAGGGCUUGUGUACUUGAUCUAAAAUCUUGCUAGAAAAUGUCAAUUUUGAAAGUGUUCAAUAAUGAGCUUUUCCCAAUAAUGUAAAAACAGAAAAAGAAGGUUCAGUAAUUCAAAGUUUACUAAUAUUUUGUGGAAAAAAUUAUGUAUGCUUUUAUGAACUUUUGGUUUUUGUUUAAUAUGAUAUAUGUAAGAAGUCACAUUGGAUAUGAUUGUUUUGACUUAAAGGCAAUUGCUUAUAAUUAGCAUUUAAAUUGUUUUUUUUUGCAUCAACCAAAACAUCUAGUCACAAAAUAUUUUCAGUUGCUAUUAAGACUGUUGUAUUAUGAAAUUUGUUGGAAGUUCAGAGUGUUUUAAUUUUAUGAGUAUGUGUAUUUUAGUUUUUUAACUUUGAAUUUCAAAACUUUACAGCAGAAAAAGAAGAAUUUUUAAAAGUUUGCUUUUUUCCUUUUCUAUGCAUGCUAAGUUACAUUUUUACAACAUAUUGUAAUUUUUUUUUAUAUAUUUUCAUUUGUUGCACUACAAAUUUUAGUAGAUACAGCUACAGUUUUUUAAACUGAAGAAUAUAGGAAUUUUUUUAUGGCCAUUGUACUUAUUUCUCAGUUUUAAUUUAUGUAAUUGUGCAUUAAUAAAAUUACAAACCUCAACUAUGAAUCUAAUUUUUAUGAAUAUUAUGAUUUAAGAGGCUCUUUAUGCCUGUGGUUGUUUUUUAUGUAUGUGUAAACAUUUACAUAUAUGCUUAUAUUUAUGUUUUAUGUAACUUUUGGUAUUGUAUACCUGUUUGUUUUGUAUUGAUCUUCAUUGCUUGGAGCUUUUAAAGGUUUAGUUUAAAAAUUAAAUAAAUCAUCCAGCAGCA